RNAcentral lists this long non-coding RNA (1015 nucleotides) under Camarhynchus parvulus. Its description in RNAcentral is "lncRNA (ENSCPVG00000017782.1)". Lineage: Eukaryota; Metazoa; Chordata; Aves; Passeriformes; Thraupidae. The record is from RNAcentral.
UGGCGCAGGCGGAGGGGCGGGGCCCGGGGGGGCGUGGCCCGCCCUGCAGGGCAGAGCCCGCGCCCCCCGUCCCGUCCCGGUUCGGUUCUCACCGCGCUGCCCCGGGCCGGACCGGGGCCCUCCGCGAGCCUUCCCGGUGCCGGGUGGUGCCUACCCACCCCUCGCUCCGCCCCCAAUCGUCUCCGAGAGCUCCCGGUAGCAGGGCAACCCCGGGCUGGACCGGGACUGCCGUGCGCCGGGACCUGGACACGCUCCCUCCUCCCUGCGCGGCCCCGGCGCCGUUCAGCGCCGCCGAUUCCCAGCCCAAGCCGGGGCCCGGCUCCUCCCGGCCCCGCGGCACCAUCUAGUGGCGCCGCCCGGCCCGGGUCAGCCCCGGGGCGCGGGUCAGCCCGGGCCGGCCCCGCCGGUUCUCGGAGCCCCGGGGCCACGCGUGCCCCGCAUAGGGAGCCGCUGCUGGGAGGCAACGCCGGGGCCACCGGCACUAAUGAGGCUGCUCGGCGGCGCCGAGCCCCGCCAGAGGGGCUCCCGACUGUGGCUGGUCCGAGGGAGCGGCGGGAGCCGCUCCAGGCUCCCCGCGGGGCUCGGGCGGGAGCAGCCGGUGCCGAGCAGCGAGCGGAGGGGCGGGCGGCGGCAUGGCUCCGGCUCCGGGCUGGCGGCUGCGGGCCGGGGGCUUCCACAGAAACUGGUCCCCCCCUCACCGCUUCGGCGCUGGGCUGGGAGCGGUACCGGCCCCGGAGGGAGGCGGAGAAGCGCGGCGUGGACCUGAUCGCUGUCAGCGCCGGAAAGCGGCCCCGCGGAACCAGGGAUGACGGAGGCCUGGUCCUCAGGCAGAGUCUGGGCCACAAAGGGUUACGCAAGGCACCCUGGAGUGACACCACUGCCACCAGCCCGGGAGCUCAGCUCCUUCCUGGUCGGAUCCCAGGCUCGGUGAGUGCCUAAUUCUGUCCCCUGAGAUCUGUCAGCCCUGCUUUCUGGCUUUCAGCUGUGCUUUCACCUGGGGAACUGGCCAUGCUUU